Molecule: ribosomal RNA, 465 nt
Filed under: uncultured swine feces bacterium F2
Lineage: Bacteria
Description: bacterial SSU rRNA
Rfam family: Bacterial small subunit ribosomal RNA
Source: RNAcentral
GAGAGUUUGAUUCUGGCUCAGGAUGAACGCUGGCGGCGUGCCUAACACAUGCAAGUCGAGCGAUCUUCUUCGGAAGAGAGCGGCGGACGGGUGAGUAACGCGUGGGUAACCUGCCUCAUACACAUGGAUAACAUACCGAAAGGUAUGCUAAUACAAGAUGAUAUAAGAGAUUCGCAUGGAUUUCUUAUCAAAGCUCCGGCGGUAUGAGAUGGACCCGCGUCUGAUUAGCUAGUUGGUAAGGUAACGGCUUAUCAAGGCGACGAUCAGUAGCCGACCUGAGAGGGUGAUCGGCCACAUUGGAACUGAGACACGGUCCAAACUCCUACGGGAGGCAGCAGUGGGGAAUAUUGCACAAUGGGCGAAAGCCUGAUGCAGCAACGCCGCGUGAGCCGAUGAAGGCCUUCGGUCGUAAAGCUCUGUCCUCAAGGAAGAUAAUGACGUACUUGAGAGAAGCCCCGCUAACUA